UGGGUGUUGGGGGUGGGGGAGGGAGGGUAGGGGGCAGGAAAUGAAGGGAGAGGGCAUCCAGGCAGAAGGUGACAGAGAGAAAGAGAGAGGGGAAAUGUGAAGGAGUAGGACUCCUAAUUUCCCAGAGGUGAAGUCUUUCUCCUCCUCCAGCUCUGGGGUCUCAGUAACCACCAUGGCUUCCCGUGAAAGAAGGAAGAUUCCAUUUUUUUUUAUAUGUCUGCCCUACCUGAGGUCCUAGGAAGACCAACACCCGAUGGGUACUCAGUGAACAGAGAGGAAAGAGGCAAGCAGACAAAGAGGACAUUAGGGUGAGGUCAAGCCAGCUGGGCAAGGGGGACACGGGGACCAGGAGAGGGGCAGGAAGGUGAGCGUGCAACUUGUCCGCUCAUCUUCAGAAUCUCAGUCACUACCCCAGUAGUUGGAGGUGGUAUUGCCCCCAUUCGACAGGUAAGGAAAACGAGGCUCAGAGAAGUCCCAUAAGGGGUUAAGGCUGACUUCAAAGGCCAAUCUUUCUAGGUUCUUCCUGGCAUGUCCUCACCUGGCUACUGCCAAGAACCCAGCAGUGACCAGGUUCUUGGCAGGCACCCCUGCCUUUGGAGAGGACUGCUUCACUGGGAGUUCCUGGUCAAAUGGAAGGUUCCUGGAAAGGCCUCCUGUAACAGGCACUCACUACCCUACUGGACUUGGGGAUCACCCAGGCAGCCCCCCUCCACUGCCCCCAGGCACAAACGGCGCUGUCCCUGUGUGGUUGCGCCGCGGGAGCGGCUCUGGAGGACAGAAGUCUGUCUGACACUCCUGUGCCUGCGUGUGUGACCCCCGCAAAUCCCAUCGCCUCUCUGUGCCUCAGUCACCACGUCCGUGAAAUGGGGGUUCACCCGCCUUCAGGGUUGCCGCGGGCACUACGCGAGCGCGUGUGUGUUUGGGAUGGGUCCAGCACAGAGCGGGGACUUGGCGACGAGCCAUGCCUUUCUUCCCCCCCACGGUCCCCGACCUUAACCCUGCGAACGAUCCUGUGGAGCUCAUAUUGUUAUUAUUGUCAUUUUUGUUUAGGGAACAAACGAACGGAGGAGUGGAGGGAGAGGGCGCGCGGAUGAAUGAAUGAAUGGUUGGCGCGUGGGCACCUCCCCGAGCGCUCGGCCCCCUCGGCUUCCUGCAGGGAAGGGGGCUGCGGGCCCUGCGCUCUCACCGCCGGGGGGGGGGGGGGGGCGGUUAAUGGGCGCGGGGCGCUGGCAGGUGGCAGAUGAAAGGGGCCGCGAGCGCCGCCCAGAAAUUAGCCUCGGGGCGAGCGGCGGGGCGGGCUUAU
This 1303-nucleotide long non-coding RNA is filed under the name Felis catus (domestic cat). RNAcentral's name for it is "lncRNA (ENSFCAG00000051462.1)". The record is from RNAcentral. Lineage: Eukaryota; Metazoa; Chordata; Mammalia; Carnivora; Felidae.